UCAGUGUAUUGGUUAAUUCAAAAAGCCGAAGAGAUACUAGGACAUAGAUGGCACUUGUGAGCAUGAAAUUCAGCAAUGGAUAUUCUGGUAUGAUAGAAAGAAGCCACUUAGGCUGUCCAUUCGGAAUGUUUGAUCUCAGCCAGAUGUGGAACUGUGAAAUAUAGGUCUCCAAAGUUAUCUUUCCUAGCCAAGCAAAGAGAGUCAAAGAGAAACUCCGUAGCUGCUGAGUGAAAUUCCGCAAGCAAAUGUACACAGUGAUGGGGAUCCACGAUGUGUAAGGGUGGUACUUGUUGUAUGUAACCUUGUCCAGCUUGUAAAUAUAUUCAUACCACAAAUAGCCAACCAGCAAGGAACCUGACACAAUUCCUGUUUUGAUUGAGAGUUUCUUCUUGGUUUCAGAUUCCUCCAAUUUCUCCAUCCAUUUCUCUACAUUUGGGUGGCAAUAUGCAUAUAUCAUUCCAAUGAUCCAAAUAUAGCGAUCAAGUCCUGAUCUGAAAUGCCACUCAUGCAAUCGGGGGAGAUCUGGCUUUGCAGGAUCAGUAUACCCCAAUAAGAAUGGUAAAGGACUCCAGAGAAAAUAAAAAACUCCAGGUAUCUCCCAAACCAAGAUAACCACAAGAAAGCAUGAAAGAAUCU
Molecule: unclassified non-coding RNA, 636 nt
Filed under: Hevea brasiliensis (rubber tree)
Lineage: Eukaryota; Viridiplantae; Streptophyta; Magnoliopsida; Malpighiales; Euphorbiaceae
Source: RNAcentral